Molecule: ribosomal RNA, 425 nt
Filed under: uncultured bacterium
Lineage: Bacteria
Description: partial 16S ribosomal RNA
Rfam family: Bacterial small subunit ribosomal RNA
Source: RNAcentral
GUGGGGAAUAUUGGACAAUGGGCGCAAGCCUGAUCCAGCCAUGCCGCGUGAGUGAUGAAGGCCCUAGGGUUGUAAAGCUCUUUCACCGGUGAAGAUAAUGACGGUAACCGGAGAAGAAGCCCCGGCUAACUUCGUGCCAGCAGCCGCGGUAAUACGAAGGGGGCUAGCGUUGUUCGGAAUUACUGGGCGUAAAGCGCACGUAGGCGGGUAUUUAAGUCAGGGGUGAAAUCCCAGAGCUCAACUCUGGAACUGCCUUUGAUACUGGGUACCUAGAGUAUGGAAGAGGUAAGUGGAAUUCCGAGUGUAGAGGUGAAAUUCGUAGAUAUUCGGAGGAACACUAGUGGCGAAGGCGGCUUACUGGUCCAUUACUGACGCUGAGGUGCGAAAGCGUGGGGAGCAAACAGGAUUAGAAACUCUAGUAGUCC